AAAGGUAAGCUACUAAGAGCGAAUGGUGGAUGCCUUGACUGGUAAAGGCGAUGAAGGACGUACUAGACUGCGAUAAGCUACGGGGAGCUGUCAAGAAGCUUUGAUCCGUAGAUUUCCGAAUGGGGCAACCCAAUGUAUAGAGAUAUACAUUACCUAUAUAGGAGCGAACGAGGGGAAUUGAAACAUCUUAGUACCCUCAGGAAAAGAAAUCAAUAGAGAUUGCGUCAGUAGCGGCGAGCGAAAGCGCAAGAGGGCAAACCCAGUGCUUGCACUGGGGGUUGUAGGACUGCAAUGUGCAAGAGGUAAGUUUAGCAGAACAUUCUGGAAAGUAUAACCAUAGAGGGUGAUAGUCCCGUAUGCGAAAAACAAACCUUAGCUAGCAGUAUCCUGAGUAGGGCGGGACACGAGGAAUCCUGUCUGAAUCCGGGUCGACCACGAUCCAACCCUAAAUACUAAUACCAGAUCGAUAGUGCACAAGUACCGUG
RNAcentral lists this ribosomal RNA (485 nucleotides) under Campylobacter jejuni. Its description in RNAcentral is "partial 23S ribosomal RNA". It matches the Rfam family "Bacterial large subunit ribosomal RNA", at positions 1 to 505 of the family's 2925-position model. Lineage: Bacteria; Pseudomonadati; Campylobacterota; Epsilonproteobacteria; Campylobacterales; Campylobacteraceae. The record is from RNAcentral.